CCCUUCACCUUAGAAGUUCUUUGAC
This 25-nucleotide non-coding RNA is filed under the name Drosophila melanogaster (fruit fly). The record is from RNAcentral. Lineage: Eukaryota; Metazoa; Arthropoda; Insecta; Diptera; Drosophilidae.